UUUUUUUUUUUUUUGGUUAAAAACGUGAAUCAAAUUUUUUAUUGCAGGGCAUAAACAUCCUGUUGACUGCGGAUGAGCAUUGGAUUGGUCGAACCGUGGACGAUGUACGUUUCCAGAUUGAUUCGACUGCGGUUAGUGGAAGGCAUUGCAAGAUAUACAGGAAGAGGGCUGCUAAUGAAGAUACGAAGCAUACAUCCGUAUGCUUGAAGGACAUGAGGUUUAUUAUUGUUAUGCGUUGAGAUUUUUCAGUUUCGCAGUCAACUUAUAAAAUGAAUGAUUGAAUUGAGAUUUUUGCAGCACAAAUGGGACUUAUCUUAACUGGAUGAAGUUGACAAAAGUUGGCGCUGAAGCUGAAGUACGUCAUGGAGAUAUUAUAUCACCUUCAGCACCUCCUCAGCAUGGUAAUACUACAGUGGCCAAUAACCAUCUUGUAGUCUAAGCGGCACUUAUGAGAGUAACACCCUUUUUAUUAUUUAUAGGCUUCUAAAGUAGAAUUUGAGGAGUUGUUAAUUCUUAGUAUUUGUAUAGAGAUAUUGUUUGUGUUUUAUAGUUUGUAAGAAGCCCCAUAGUCUCUACGACAGAAUGUUAUUGAUCUUUUAAUCUGUCUAUAAUUACAGAUCUUGCAUAUGCAUUCGUAUACAGAGAUGUUUCACUGUCCAGUCCCAGUACAGAUGGUGCAUUUGCAAAAAGAAAAGCAGGUAUAUUCAUGACAAUGUAUUAUGUAUGCUAUAAUACUGUUUAUAUUUUUAUUUUCUUUUAAUGAGCUCAUCCGGCUCUCAGAUUUGGAUGCUGAGUACUUGUGGUGUUUCUAUAAUUGGUUAUCACAUCUUUCUUGUGGUUGUUGCAACUCGCAACCAUGGAAUCAAUCAAGUCUUUCAGGGGACACUGCUCAUUUGCAAAAUACCACUAUAAUAAUUAUUUUUACUCAGGUCAUAAUAGAUUCAUAGAUCUGAUGGUGUUCAUGGUUGUGAAUGUGGCUCAUUUGGACUAUUUAAUAUUACUUGUUCUUGAAUGUGAUAGCUCUCAUUAUUUUAUUGACGUAUUUUCUCUUUUUAGUACAGAGGAUUUUGUCACUGAUAAUAAGAGAGUUAAAGGGAUUGGCAUUGGUUCUUCUGAUGGUCCUAUAUCUCUUGAUGACUUUCGAAGUCUUCAACGGUCAAACACGGUACCUUAUUGAUGAUAUUACAGUAUUGAUUACAAAUGAAGAACUGAUGUGAAAUGAUGAUGGAAAGUCAGAAUAAUUAACUUCCUUUUGAAACUUCAGGAAUUGAGGAAGCAAUUAGAAAACCAAGUUGUUACAAUUGAUACACUGCGCAAUGAGACUCGUCUGGCUGUUGAGUGUCAUGAAAACGUAUGCUCCUGGUGACCUGUGACCUCUCUCUAUCUCUCUCCCUCCCUUCCUUAUCCUCUCUCUCUCUCUCUCUCCAUCCUUUUCCAUGAAACAACCAUGCCUGUUUUUGAAUCAAUACUUGUAAAACAAAUUAAUCAACAAUCAAACAAGCAACCAAACUACCAGUGACCAAAUUGAAAUUAGAAUACUAAAAAACGUACUUAAAUUCUGAAACAAAUUCUGGUGGUGUGGAUAAUUUUGAAACAAAUUGAGGUAUGAGAUUGGGCCAAAAUUGAAAUAUGGGAUUGGGGAGAAUUUAGGGUUUGAGGAAUAUGGAAAUUGGGUGAAUUUUGAAAGGUAGAAUCGGGUAUUGGAUCGGGAAGAAGGGAGACCUGCUGGCUGCUGGGGUUUAUAAAAAAAAUAAAUAAAAAGUAGACUUAGCCAAAAUGAGGUCAUUUUGGGCCAAGUCUUUAUAAAUAAAUUAUAAAACCCUUCUUCUUCUUCGCACGGUCGUCUUCUUCGUGAAGACGCCGCUGCAACACAGAACCGGAGCCAGGUUUCCAGUAAAUUUCAAAUUUCAAGCAAGAUUUUGGAUUGCUGAAGGGUACUGGGAACGCCCAGUCAAAUGCCUCAGGCGUGCCUCGGCUACCUAGGUGUGACCCGUUGAAGCCUAGGCGAGUUUCCGCCUACUCAGAACACAGGCGAAAUUGCUACCGCCCGGCCUCGAAGGCCCCCUAGGCAUGCCUUGAGGCGUGUUUUUUAAAACACUGCUUUGAAUACAUUGAAUUGGUAUAAGUGAGUGCAUGUUGGUGCAGGUUGACAUUCUCUGUGUUAUUCCUUGACAAGCAAGGUACGUCAAUCUACUUACAAGUGACAUGUUUUGUCCUGCAGGAAAAGAAAGAACUGAGAGAAUUGGUGGCAAGACCUUACCUUGAUCAACUCAGUGAGUUGCAACGUGGUCUGGAGAUUAAACAGAAGGAGCUGGCGGAAGCUAAUAGAAUAUAUGCAGAAACAAAGCAUGCUAUCGAAGACCUUAAUGAAAGGCUUGGUGCUUCUGUGCAGUCAUGUUCUGAAGCAAAUGAAAUUGUGAAUAGGUAAGGCACUUAUUAUUUGGUCAUGUGCUUGCCUAUUGAGUGUAUAUAUUUUCUUUUCAAUGGAGUCUCUUAUUGUAUUAGUAUUAAGUAAUAAGCAAUAUUGUUUGAGUAGCUGUCUCCCAUGCUUUUCUGGCUAGCAGUUCAAGUAGCUUCCGCUUAUAACUUUUACUUGAUUCUACGUCGUACACAAAUCUAAAUUUCCAAGCUUUCUGAGCCAAGGCAUGGGAAGAAAAUGGAUACUUUGUUUGGGUGGCCAGCUUUUUCUGAUAAGGGUGUUGUGGUGAUUGGUAAAAGCACUGCAGGAACUUGGCAUUCACAAUACAUUCAAAUACUAAAAUAUACACUAACUUUGUUUCCUAUACCUGAUAUGGCUGUAGCUGGGAUGGCUAUUAUCUUUUCUUGCUUAAGAUAUAUCUACUUAUUAACUUAUUGAUAUCAUGCUUCAUUUGAGCAUGUCUAUGCCUGACUUGUUUUGUCAAGAACAGUGGUGACUGAUUCUCUGCCCACCUUAGGUUGCAGAAGUUGAGAGAAAAUUUAAUUUAUGUAGAAAGAUAUAGUGAUAGUCUUAUCCUUGUUUGUAGUCAGAAAGCAUCUAUAGCUGAACUCAAGGCACAGUUGGAUGAAGAGCGUGCUCAGAGACAAGAAGAACGAGAAAAGGCUGCAGCAGAUUUGAAAGCAGCAGUGCAGAAAGCUCAAUCAGAGGCUGAAGAGGAUUUAAAACGAAUUUCUGAUGAUGCCACAAGACGACAAAGAGAGCAACAAGAAGUAAUUAAUAAGCUUCAGGUAUGAAUGCAUUUAUAACUUUCGUAUAUGAUAUAAUGUUUUGAUUGUGUUGAGGAAUGAUGUAUAGAGAUUUGUGGUCUCAGGAAUCAGAGAAAGAAACAUGUUUGUUAGUGGAAACCUUGAGAACCAAAUUGGUAAUAUUGGCACUACCUUUAUAUUUGUACAUGCUGCAUAAUUAGAUACAUCGAUUGAAUCAUUGGAGGCCCUUGUCUUGAUUCCCCUGUGUUCUGCAGGAAGACACUAGGCAAAAGUUGGUAGUCUCUGACUAUAAAGUUCGCCAGCUAGAAACCCAACUUUCCGAAGAGGAGUCAACCUCUGAAAGUCGAAAAAUUGUAAUUAUGCUCUUUCAUGCCUGCUUAAAUAUUUUUGUAGUUAUCUUCACCUGCAAAUAGCUGUUGAAGUUAAGUUCCUUACCAUAUUGGGGGAUGUUUGCUUAGAGAGUUGAAGAACUUGAACAUGAGAUGAGAGGACUGAGGAAGGAGCUUGAGAGUGAAAAGGUAGACAUGAAAAUUUUUCUUUUGCCUUCUACAGUGUUGUAAAUGGUACAACACGCUAAAUGUAUCCACUUGUAGGCAAGGUUUCUGUAGGCAUUUAUCUUGUUACUUUUUUAAGCUGACAUAUUUCUUGCUGUUGGUAGCAGGCAGCUCGAGAAGAAGCAUGGGCUAAAGUUUCUGCACUUGAACUAGAGAUAAAUGCUGCUAUGCGAGAUCUUGAUUUUGAGAGACGAAGGCUAAAAGCUGCCAGAGAAAGAAUUAUGCUUAGGUAAAGAUGUCUUUACCUGUAGGAAAUUUCGUUGCAUGGUAGCUUAGUUCUUGAGUAAUCUAUUUUUGCUUAUGUUUUCUAACCCUUUCUUCCCUGUUAUGUCAUUGCUAAGCACGUAAAACUCUUUGUGGAUCAGCCCCCCAAGUUUUCCAAUUGUAAAAUAAUUUUUGCCCUAGAAUCAGUCAGUUCUUUUCAAAUGACACAAAUGGAGGUCCAUUUUCUGUGUUUGUGUUGGGGAGGGGUGGGGUUGGUUACUUUUUUUUUUCAAACGCUGAAUUUUCUUAGAACAUUAUAAACCGUGAAGAUAUGCUUUUCAUACAGGGAGACACAACUAAGAGCAUUUUAUUCCACAACCGAGGAGAUUUCUGUACUGUUUACUAAACAGCAGGAACAGUUGAAAUCAAUGCAGAAGACGCUGGAGGACGAGGAAAAUUAUGACAACACAUCAGCAGAUAUUGACCUCAAUGUGGUUAUUGAUGACGUAACUGCACCUGAAGGCAGAGGAAAUGAAGCAAUCAGAUACCAUAGUAACAUUACUGCCAAGGCAGGGUCAGCUACAACAUCCCAGAGGUCUUUCAGAAAUCAAGUUGUAACUUCUAGUGAUGAAAUUAGUGUGACCGAGAAACAUGACUGUGAUAUCAGAAGCCAAGAAGGUCAACAUACCGAAGAGGCAGAAUUUACAAGUGCAGACCUUGGUGUCAAGGGUGCCUUUGGUUCUGAAAUUGAUGGUGUUGGCACAGCACCCAUUAUGGAGGGAGACGGCAUUGACACCGAGCAUGUUCCUGAAACUGAAAGCCUUGGAAUCAAUGGCGAGCAGAAUAUUGAUUUGAAUAGAAUUGUCACUUUAGAAGGGGAUACAAUGCAACUUGAUGAUGAAACCAACGUACAAGAAAAUGAUGAGCAGGUUCCAAUGAUUUGUCAGCAGCGUCACUCACAAUCAAAUAGCCCCCAAGACACUCUCAAAGGUAUGGAAGAUACCGAAGCCUGUGGUACGAUCAGGACAGCAGACCUUUUAGCUUCUGAAGUUAUUGGUAGCUGGGCUUACAGCACAGCCCCUUCUGUGCAUGGAGAUAAUGGCUCUCAAAGAAGCAGAGACAACAAUGAGGAAGGUGCUGCUGCACCACACAACUCCACCGAUCAGGUGGCCGAGAGCCAAAGUACUCCAUCUUCUGAUGCUGUUGCCAGAAGACGAAAUCUUGAAUGUCAAGCACCCAAUUCCUCUUCACCCGGAUUCCAAAUUAGUAAACAUGCCCUAAGUGAAAUGAUUGGGAUUGUUGCUCCGGACUUAAAAGAACAGUUCGGUGGUAUUGUAGAUGAUAGUUGUGAUCAUGCGAAAGAAAAACAAGGUUCUGCAUCCGACUCAGAUACUGAGAGCUGUUCAAACAAUGAAGAAGAUAACAGAACUGAUGCCAAAAGCGGAUCAAUUUCAGAUUCAGAAACCGAGGGCAGUGAUCGGGGUGAUGAAGAUAAAAAUCUGGUGAUGCAAUGGAUGAAGAUGAUCAAGAUACAGAAGAUUCUCUUUAGAUAAUAGGCGUAUAUGGGAGCACAAGUACUCCAACACCUAUCUGGUUCGGACUGGUAUGACCUGUAACUACUCCAGACAUAUCUGGAUUUUGCGUCUGUCUUUUUGUUGCUCUUGUAGUUACGUUCACGGUUUAUAUUUGUAGCUUUCCUUUAUACCAAUUUCACAAAGAAUUUUGUUUCUUGAUUUGUUUUCCUUAAACUUGGGAGUUGAUGUUCAUCGAGGCUCUAGAGUCCCCUUCCCCAACUCUGGACUGAAAAUUGAACCCUAGAGAGAUUCAAUCCACCUUCCCAAUCACAUCCCCUCGUGUGACGAGGCAGGUGAUCGCUUUUUCCCUGAGGAGUUAAUGGAUAGGAACUUCCCUAUCCCAGUGUUAGCGUAGUACUGAGUAGCUCUUUGUUCCGGUGUUAAGUGUCUCAUUUUCUAUCUCUCUCUUUACGUGAUUAUUCAUGAGUUAUGUACUCGUGUAUACUAAACAACAUGUUGUUCAGAAAGUCCAAUGUUAGUUGCUAAAAGCUGGCUAUGAUCUCGAAGUAAUGAGCUUUUUUGGCUUAGAAGUCAGAAGCAGUGAGUUUGUCAACCAAGUAGAUAAUAUUUUUUGAAGUAAAUUUGUCAAGGCCAGCAAUCAAAUACAUCUUCCCACUAGGCACAGUCCUAAAUGCUCUUCCUUCUGCACCCUUCAAUUAUUAGAUGUAACUUGCUCUCUCUCAUUGAGCAAGACCCCAAAACCUAAUCUUGAAACUUUUGUCUACAUCCCACAGAGAAAUUUAUAUGUAACUGGAAUGUUGAAGUGACGAUAUUCAAAGUUUAUUACGCUUCACCUUGUAUCUUAACUUACGUGCAUGAAUCAUGUCAUCAUUUCAGAAUAUCGUCACACACACUAGCAUUCUAGUUGUACGUAAGUUCUAUUUAAAUGUUACUCUUUGUUUUUGUGUUGUUUUUAAUCCACGUUUGCAUUUAGAUUGGGACGAAAAGUAAUAUAAUGUCGUACUUUCUUAGUGAAAUAGUACUCCAUAAAACCUCUUAUUCGUCUUAGCCAAAUUACAGUUUUGGUCCUUGUAGUUUGAGUAAUUUUUCACUUUACUCCCGUAGUUUCAACUUUGGUAAUUUUUGUCAUGUAAUUUUCUUGCAUUUUCAAUUAGUUCACAAUCGCUAAACCCAUUAAAAUUGAGAACAUAAAUUUGACGUGACAUCACAUGCAUGUUUUAUGUAUAGGCAUCUGUUCAUCUGAAUUGUGGUUUCGUGCACACUCUCAAAAAGUCACAACAUUUUGAAUGUUGAAAUAGCCACACAUGAGACAUGUGAGUGCUCUCUUGACAAAUUUUAAUCUAUAAUUUUAAUUGAGACAAACUGCAGAAGUAAAUAAGGCCAUAAAAAUAAGGGUCUCACCACGUGUCUACAAAGAUGAUGAAAACAAGGAAAUGCCCUCUCAUCGGUUAUUGUAGUUAAUACGUUGUUCUAUGGAGUUUUAAGGUAAAAAAUAUAGAAGAAACAUGUAUUUCCACGACUCUUUAUCUUCCAGUCAUUUAUGUUCAACUUAAUUCUUGUUGAUGACCACAUAUCUUUUCAGUAUUUUUUACCUUAACUCCACUGACUAAGGUAGUAAAAGUCACGUUAUAAAUAAGUUCCUCAUUAAAAACCAAAGGUAUAUGCUUCAGUCUCAUACUUAAACUUACUGCUUUGACAUUGAUACAAAUAAUUGACUAGAACGUGAGAGGGCUUGGCCAACACCAAGUCGAGGUUUGCUCAUCUUGCUGUUACAGGAUCGAAGUGAAAAACUACUAAAACUAUAAGGACCAACAGUAUAAUUUAGAUACCACUUUUUCUUUUCGUAGUGGCAUCUGUUUCUUAUGAACUGAGAUAGUCUAGUGGAUAAGUACUCUGUACGUCUCUUCUAAAUUGUAAUGAGGAGGUAGAGAGAGAAAUACAACAUAUACACACACACACACAUAGGAAUCUUUUAAGAAAAGGGAUCUCCAUUUUUAUUAUAAGAAUAAUGAUUAGUUGUGAGACCUACACCAUAUCAAACUUUAACGAUUCGAACAGUUUAUUUUUCAAGUUGCAUCUCAUAAAUCAUUGUUACAAAAUAUUUGCCAAAUUGGUUAUAUUUGAAGCAUAUAAUUGAGUUUAAAGAAAUUGACGAACACUUUAUUAUCUAAGAAACAUUGAAAUUUCACCGUGACAGUUAAAUAAGCAAAUGGUUUCGGAUUGAAUUGAGUUUUUGCAAUGAUGAUCUAUGAAUCAAGACUUACAAAAUAGACCGUUCAGAUUGUUGAAAUUCGAUGUGAAGUGGAUCUCACAACUAAUCCUCAUUUUUUGAACAAAAUAGGGAUCCCUUCCUUGAAUGGUGUGUGUGUGUGUGUGUGUGUGUGUGUGUGUGUGUGUGUGUGUGUGUGUGUAUCAUGAUGAGUAUGUAGUGUGGCAAUCUUAAGGGCAAUCGAUUGCGCAGUAGGCAAUUGAGUGGGAGAUGGAUCGAAUAUGAAUUGCAAGAAAAUGUCGAUGGUGAUGUGGACCAGAUUGCUUGAUGGUGAGACGUGUCUGAACACUCAUAGAUCAUAAUACUUAUAUAGUUCAUGCAUGUGAAAUUACAUUACACUACAAAGUGAAAACUAUAAGGUUAAUAAUUAUAACUUGUACCAAAAACUUCAUUAUGUGACCACAAAUUUCAAUAGAAUUUACCAAAAAAAAAUUGAAGCAGUUAAAAGGUGGUUAUUUAGAAACCAACAUCUCACAUGUGUUCAACCUUUUUGAUCACAUGAAGGAUUGCCAAGGGAGAGUUCAGAAAAGAAAAUAAACAACUGAAAGAGAGAGUUUAAUUUCUUUUUUAAUUGGAAAACAUAUUAUAAAGAAGAUUUAGGUCGGAUUUUAAAUUUGUACAAAACAGACAAAUUUCUAAAUCAUGCACAAGAUGAUUAUAAGUACGUCUUACUAAAGUAGAAUCAUCUGUCACCACAUUUGUCUCAUGAUAUAUAUGAUCCAAACCAAACUUGGGGUCCCUAUUGUGCAUCAAUUAAUUACCAAGUGUACUAAACUAUUCUCAAUAGUGGAGCCUUGUCUAGCAAACUAAAUAUUGAAGGUGAUGAAUUGGUAUAUAUGACACUUGAAAUGCAUCAUGCCCAUCGAUCACCCAAAUAUAAACUUCCAAAGAAAAACAAGAAAAGAUUCGAAAGUUGUAAGAAGAAAAAAAACCAAUAAGUGAAAGCAAUCAGAUCAUUUUUGAAAAUGGUGGGAGCUUCAUUUGCUUGUUGACUAUCUUCAUCUCAUCCUUUCAUUGUGUAGCAUAUAAGUACUGAGGAGAUAGUAACACAAGAAAUGAGUGAAGCUUGCUCUGGUCGCAGCCCUAAUAAUCAAAUGGCUAAACAUAUCCCAUGUCCAAAGGGGCAUCAUGAGGGACUAGUACCCAGUUCUAUGCCCACUCUAAUACAUGCCUAUAAUGUUCACACUGUAUACCACCUACACAAAGGAUAUGAUAACAUAGAAUACACCCUAUGGUCCAAUGUAAGUAGUACACAUCCUUUGUUUUGGCCCUUUUUUUUUGUAUUUUAAAUACAGUAAUGGUCUAUUUUCAGACUUAUGUUGCAUGCAGAUAAAUCUGUGUUUGUAUUGUUAGACAAUGAAUUUAGACAAUACAUUUUGAUCAAAAUCAACAAAAUUUAGGUUCAAAUUUAUAGUCUGACGAGAGAACAAUUUCUGCUUCAAUGACGGAAUUUCUUUCUUUAGCAAGGGAAGAUCGUGAAGAAUGAUGAUGGUAUGUAUAGCUUGAUAUUUUUGUGAAAACAAAACAAAAGCAUAUGGUUUGAUCCAUCCAUCGAAUAUAGCUCCUUGUAGCAAGCAAAUCAUAAGGGUUGUGACAAGAAUGUGAGAGUUUUGGUCCCCAGUUGAAUUAUGGGCUGUCAAGUUUAAGUGUCUCCAACCACGUAGAGUUAAGGGUGCCAUGUGAAGUGGCUGAGCUGAAGUUGGACAAAAUACCACCACUACCAUUGAUAAUGAUGAUAUUACCAAUCCAAUGGGUGAGAGAGAAAGAGAGAAAAUGAUCAUGAUGGUGAAGAAGAAGAUGAAGCCAAAAAUGGGGUUCAUUUUCCAAAUAAAUGAGUAUGGCUUUGGUACUCAAUUACACCAAGAAAAGAGACAAAAGGGGAGGACCUAACAACAUUGACUACUCCCUCCCUUCAUCCUCCAUGCUUGGCAUCCCUUCCGAUAACCUGCUCAUUUUCCUUUGGCUUCUCUCAAAGGCCCUACACAAAAUGGCCACAUGUGACUUGCACGUGACAGUUCAUAUGAGUCUUUGUCAUAAGUUGGACUUGGGGAAAGGUGGCUUUAGACAAACUAACUUCAUCAGAUAUAUCAACUCAUAUGGCAUGAAUAUUAUGUUGAAAAAAGCUGCUACUUUUUGGUUUGCAUUUAGCUUAGGGGUAGGUUUAAAAAACCGAAAAUCGAAAAAAAACCAAACCGAACAUCGAAAUAAAUGUCAAACAAUAAAAAGUUUAAUGUUUAGGGCAUAAAUUUUAGACUAAUUGAUUCAAAACCCUACAAUAGGAGAGAGUUAAAUGCACUCAGUACACCACCGUGGCGUUGUGAGGGGUGUAUGUAACUCUUUCCUCUAUAGUAUAUACCUUGUUUUAAAAAUAGACAAACUUUUGAGUUGUCAAUUAAUUGAUUGCUUAAUUGAUUCUCUUUUAGGUGAUCAAGCAACAUGAUAACUUUAGAAAGUUUAGAUAUACUAUAAUAUAUAUAAUAAUAUAAAUUAAAAUGAAAUUGCAGUUGCAAGUGGUUGUGCAUUUUCUUAGCCGAAUAUAAUUGAUAGAAGGCGUAACGAUUUUACAUAAAAGUUGAUCAAGCACUCAGACACUGAUUUUGUGAUAUUAUCAUGUUUAUCCUUAAUUUUUUUUCAUAAUCCUGUUGCCUCCUCCUGCUUCUCUCCCAGCAAUCCAUCACUUCAUCCUCAACAACAACAAAGCAUUUUCUCACUAAGUGAGGUCGGCUGUAUAAAUUCUAAAACAUCGUUGCAGUCGGUUCUGUGUCACUUCCAAAAAAUAAAAGAUCUAAAAAGAAAAAAAGAAAGCUAGGGACGACGUGAGUGUUGGGACGGUGUCGAGUUUGAAGCCAAAGACAGGGUGAGUGGUGGGACAACGUGAGUGUUGGAACAGCGUGAGUGUUGGAGAGCAUGUCCGGUUCGGUAAAUAUCCGCACCGAAGGAAGCAAGAGCUAGCGACCAGUUCAAGGUCGAUAAAAUUCUCGGUUCAUAUUCUUUUCAGUUGGUUUAAUUUAUGCUUCUCUCAAAUCCCCAAAUUUUGAUUGAAUUUAUGCCUCUUUCAAUUUUGAUUGAAUUUAUGCCUCUCUCAAUUUUUGAUUGAAUUUGGCGUCCAUUGAUUUCUCGAGUGGGAGACGAGGGAGGAAGAGAUCGAGUUGGGAUCCUGGAAGACGAAGAAAUAUGUUUGAUGUGCAGAAAGUGCGACGGAGAGGGAUGGUACGAUUGACAUAUUGGAAAUUUAUUAGUGACUCUUGUUCACCAGUGUUUUGAUUAAAAAAAAAAAUGCUGGUUUUUGAAAGUAGAUGAGAGAUAUUUCCAUUUUCUACUUUGAAUGACCGUGAUUUUGAAAAAAACUUGGGUUUGCUGGGGUUACCAAACACAAAUUGGAGUCCAGUUUUUUUUCACUCCCUCCUAUAAAUAAAAGGUUAAGCAAUCAAAAACCAAUAUUCAGAGACAAAACCGUACAUCUAGUUAAAAAUAUUUGGAGCAUUUUUGCUCAUCACCAUAACUAUAAUGUAUGCUCAAUAUAACUAUCUUGUAUGCUCACCAACCUCAUCACCUGCCACAUGUCCCUUCACAUAACACUAGUUAAUAUUGUAGACACGCAAAUUUCAGUGAAAAUAAAUAGUCACCAAAACAUUAAAUUUCGGCAUGCGAGGGGUUAUGUGGCAUGCAAUGACACGUGUCAACACUUGGUGAAAAUGCCAAAUUGGAAAGAUUGAUUUGUUUAAUUUUAUUUAAUUUUUAUUUGAUUAAAUCAAAUAUUAAUUACAGGAGUAAAAUCACAAAUUACGAACCAAGACACAAAUCAAGUCUUGGUUCUUUUGUAGGCAAAGCUUGGAGAGUAUAAAUAGGAGGCUCCAAAACAACGAAAGGGGUCCAGAAAUCAUUUCAUGCCCAGACGCUAAAGCUUUGAAACUCUAAAGCUCUAAAGCAUCCAAAUUCUCAAAUACUCAGAAAAAUUCAAAACGUCAUCUACAUUCUUUGCCAAAACAUUUGAAAAAUCAUCAAACACCACCACACGUGCCGGUUUUUCCCUUACCACAAGGUAAAUCCUUGAGGCAAUCGUUCAUCCAAUAUCAAGUCAUCACGACCCUUGGAUCAACAACCAUACACACUUUACAUGUUUGGAUAUAGAAUCAGAGGAUUCAAAUUGUAAAAUGAUUGUAACCGUAAACUCAUUAAUACAUAUAUUCUUUGUACACGUGUUCUUGUUUCAUUUGUCACAUAAUUUUUGUGUUUACAAUAUUUUUCAAAAUUGAAAAAAGACAUAUAAUAUUAAAGUUAGCUAGAUUUAGAUGAAAUGACACAUGACUAAUGAUAAAAUAUAUAAUGAGCACACAUCUUAAUUUAUGAUGGUGAGAAAAAUGCUCCCAAAAUAUUUGGUACUUGGGGAUUUAAUUAGGAUAGAAUAUUCUUGUUAGGGAAAAUUAUACUAAAAGGAAAUGAUUACAUUAUCCCUAAGUUUGAGUUUACACGUUUGAAUAUUUGACCCCACGACAUGCAAAUUGCAGACAUUUUGUUCUCGUGUAAAAGCAAAAGAGUUUUAAAGGUGACGUCUACUUUUCAAACACAACCUUUACUUUCAAAACAAAACCUUAAUUAAGAUAACAACUAAUUAAGACAAACACCAACUUUUUGACCAAAUGCAAAAUCCAGCUAAUUAUCCGUCAUAAUUUCACGUAGAAAUUUACAUAAUACUCACAUACCCAUUCAGUUCAGCCAUUGACUUAAUUAAAGCAAUUGUCCAUGUAUUCGGGUUUCCCAUUCUUCUUUUUAUUUAAAGCAUCAAUGACAUUAACAGUAGGGUGGUCUAGUGGUUAGUAUGAAUUUCAAGCUUGUAUUCCACACGGUAAAUCCUAUAUUCGAUUUCUGACACUUGUGAAUCGUACGAUGGUGGCUAGAGAGAGACUAAAAUGCAUUUGUAAGUCUUUCUGGCCCCCUGGAAUGAUGGACCGUUAUGGCCAAGCCACCAGUUGGCCCCCUAUCCAAGAAAAGUUAUACCGAGAACUGAUUUUGAUGUGUAUAGUUUAAUAAUCCGCAAAGGAUCUUCUUUGUAAUUUGGUUUAAGUUUCAAAAAUAAAAUUAUUAAGCAUUUUAAACAAAUUAUUUACCUUCUUGUAGUUUUAAGAUUAAUAUUCAUCCAUUGUCCUCUCAGUACACAAAGAAGAGAGGAAUGAAUUCAAGCUGCCAAGCAAGACUAUUCAAACUCCUGAUUUCUGCAGUAAUGAUUUCGUUUACUGAUUGCAGCACAUGACUAUGGACAUAACAAGUCAUCUUCCACAUUCAGGACUCUGUGAAAAGGGACCAAAACCGUAUUAGUUGAAACUGAAGGGGGAAACUUUUGAAUUUCAACAAAGUUGCUAACCCUAGUUGGGGUAAUAGUUACUUUCCCAUGUGCCUCAACAAAACCCAAAUCUUAAGCAUCGAUCCCCAUCCAUGAAAGAGUCUUCGACUCUUAGCCAGCCUUGGGAGGGAGAGAAAUACUUUCUCACAAACGGUUUUAAACAAUUAUAUUUCUCAUCCAGUGACGUUAUCAGAGUUUUAUGUGAUAAAGCUUUAAUGUCACAAGUCACAUGAUAAAAAAAACAAAUAUAUAUUGGAUGAAUUGUGUCUUUAUCGACACAUACAAGUUAAGUCAAUUGACCACAACAAUACAUCUUCCAUUUUACACCAGGAUACCUUAUAAUAUAUUAACUUUAUUUAGACUAUCACUUAUUAACAUCAUUUCUUUUUCUUAUCUUCUCCUCUGCAUUUUAAUUUCAAUCUCUAUACUAGGCCUUUGUAAUCAUGACUCCUUUUGCCAUCAUUGCCAUGGAAAGCCCUCUCUCUCUCUCUCUCUCUCUCUCUCAAGUACAGAUACACAAAAAUAGCUAUGUGGCUCAUCUUUUCCUCCUAGGUUCUGCCCCAGACUUCUCUUCUAUUUAAAGUCCAAGAACUCUAUUUUUCACAAACCACAUUUUUAUUAGCCUUCUCUUCUCCAAGUUAAACUCUCUCUCUCUCUCUCUCUCUCUCUCUCUCUCUCUCUCUCUCUUUCUCUCUCUCUCUCUCUCACAGAGGCAGCAACUGAAUUGUAAAGGAAACAAUGUGUUUGAACUCAGAAUUGUCUCCGUCUAGUCCUCUAUACUCUUCUUUUCGCCUUCGAAGGCCAUCAAAGCAACACAGCUUUCGAGUUCGCCGCCUAAUUAACAGGUUUGUUCUUUCACAACCCAUCUCUCUCUAUCUCUCUCUAUUAUUCUUUGUUCUUAUCAUCAAAGAGAUUAACAGAAGGUGUUUAAAUUUUGUUUGUUAUGUUAACACAGGAACUGGAAGAGAAAACCAGCUGGACCAGCAGCAAAAGAGGCAGAGACCGGAGGGGCAAAGGUAGAGAUGGAAAUGAAGAACUUGAAGCUGUAUAUGGAGAACCAGAGCAUUAUAGAAGAGAAUAUUAAGCUGAGGAGAAAAGCACUUCUUCUUGUCCAAGAAAACCAAGCCUUGUUUUCACAGCUCCAACAAAAGCAGCUUUUUCUCAACAAAACAACAGCAGCAGUAUAAUAUGCAUGCAGAUGCACUAGGAGUCCCAUGAAGGUCAGACACGAUCAUCAGUACUAGACUAAUUAUCUAAACACGUAUUUAAUGCUUAAUUAAUUUGCAAUUUUCAUGAGAAAAACUUAAACAAGAAGGAAAUUGAGUAAUAGGGGGCCUCUUUUAUCCUUAAUUUGUUCUUUCAUCUCCUUGCUGAGGGAUUAAUUCCCCCACCUCACUUAAUAUGGGGUUAAUUUUGGUUUACGUUGCAAAAAUAAUAAAAUAUGGUAUGGUAUGGUAUGGUAUGGUAUGGUAUGGAUGAUUUACCAUUUAUGUGCCUCCAAAAAGAUCCAAAUUAAGAAUAGUGGUAUAUACAAAUCCUCGCUAGUAUCCUUGUGUAACUGCAAUGUUUUAUUUAUUUCCUACUCUUUUUUUUGUUUUUGUUUUGAUGUGUCUUGGGGCCCGGGGCAAACGAAAGAUUCUUGACUGUUACAAGGUUGUAUACAACUGUGUCUACUAUUUAAUGAAAGGGUUAAUAUAAAGUGAGAUCAUUGCUAUUUGGUAUUACAGUUUAAUAAUAUUUCUUUUCAUUUGUAAGUGAGAGGUCUUAUGUUCGAUUCUCGCUAAAGACGAAUUUAAAUCACAUUAUUGUUAACCAAUUGUAAGGCUUAGUCCACCGCUUCCCUUUACUGUGAAUAAUAUCGUUUUUUUUUAAAUUAAAAUAAUAUAUAUAUAUAUAUAUAUAUAUAUAUAACUAUAUAACUUGGAGAUUGAUGCAUGUCUUUUUGAUAAAAAAAAUCACAACCCUAUGUCUGCAUAAAUAUCUUCUGAUACUUGAGUUUGAUUUAUCAGCAACCAAAAAAUACAUGGGUUGAAAAAAUAAUUAUCAGAGAGUGGUCAAAGAUCCACUUCCAACAACACCGAUAUUAUCUCCAAUUUGGUAGUAACUACUUGCACAAUCCGUCAAGUGUGAAGUUUUACCACAAAUUUUUUUAAUGUUAGUUAAAAUGAGGUAAUUCUAUUUAAAUUGCUUUUCUCUUUCUCCUCUAGAUGUGGGGUUCAACAACAGCAAAGCCUGCUUGAUCGUCCACCACCAUAUGUCCGUGAUGGAGUUAAUUACAUAUGGAUUAUGGAGAAAAUUAAGGAUCAUGGGCCUAGGAGUCCAAGAUUCAAUGUCUAUACAAAGGCCAUUUAACUCGCUAGCACAGGAGGGAAGGGAUCACAAUCGCUUUAAAUUCUACAGCAAUCACUAAGAGUGCGUUUGGUACGUGGAAUGGGACGGAAUAGAGUGGGACGGACGUGUUCCGUCCUACGUUUGGCGCGCUAAAAUUAUGUGGAACGGCUGUCCCGCGGGACGAAAAUGGGCUAAAUUUUUUUUUCGCGCUCCCCCUGGAACGGGUAUUUCCAUCCCGUGGAACACAAAAAUCAUAAAAUUUAAGACAAAAAUACCCCUUAACUUUUUCAAUAUUUACACCAUCUAUAUCAUCCAACAAACCCUACAACUAUCAUUUCUCUUCUCUCUGCCGCUGUGAACGUUCAUCCUUGCGCAUCUCCCCUUCGCGAACUUUCAGCUCUUCAUCCCUGCCCAUCUCCCCUGCUGCUUGUAAAUCCUCCAAUCUUUAUCUUUAAUUAAUUUUGAUGCUGCUUGUAAAUCCUCCAAUCCCUAGAACGGGUUUGGUGUUUGUUGUUGCUUGUAAAUCUCCCUUCGCGACCUCGUUUUUCUUCCUCAGAAGCUCCUCCACGGUUUCCCGAGUCGGGUUCUCCGGCGGUUCUAGGGUUGAGUCCGCGGAGUGAGCUUCGUCUGUGAAAUCUGCGGCAGCUGCUUCAGAUGAAAUUGAAGCGUACGGCCGCGAAGGAACAUUGUACGGAGCAAGCCUGAGGGCUAAUUUCAAAUUCAAAUCACAAAAUUGAGUUAGAAAUGUGUGUAUGAGUGUCGAGAGAGAGAGAGAGUACCUUGGUUGGAAGGAAGCGGAGAGAAGAUGAGGGAGGGGCAGUGGAGGAGAGAGACGGUGGGUUGAUUGGUUCGGAGGGUGGAGGUGAUUGAGGAGAGAGAUGUAUGGACUAGGGUAAGUUAGUCAUUUUAAUAUUUUGAUUUCGUUCCCUCCUGCGCUUACCAAACGCAGAACGGAACAACUUUCCUGUUCUAUCCUGCGCAUACCAAACAUAACAUGGAACCACCAUUCCAUUCUGUCCCGUCCCGUCCGCGUACCAAACAGUACCUAAGUGUCGGAGCGUCUUUUGCAAGUACGCACCGGACAUGCUCUUAUUGGUGGCAAGUGAAGAUGGUUUACAAAAUUACUUGUUGGAGAACUGAAGAACUCAACCAUUGUCUUUUGCUCAUGAGACUUUUCCAAGUCCAGCCAAAAAGAAAGAAAACUAAAGGCAAAUUGAAUGCCAUAGUUACAUUUUAAUUAUUUAUGCCAAACGUUGGUGCAAGUACUUUCAGUUAUCUCAAAGCUUUAUUAACUGAUCCCUUACUAGCUUGCACAUUAAGAAAUUAAAAGAAAAUUAAGCAUCAUUAAAUUGGUUAACAAACUGAGCUUCCCUUUCCCGCCAUUUGGACUCGUAUGGGCGCGAAAAACUCUUACAUCUCUCUCACUUGUGGAGAGGGCCCGACCUCACGCUGGUCUCCCCCGGUGAAAAAACUGCCCUACUCAUGCAGCCUACAAAAGUUUCUUUUAAGGAAUUAUUUGAAACCCUUUCGUUUCCUUGUUAUUUCAAAUCUUGGCAUACAUGAACGGUACAUGAUCCGAAAGAACAAUUUAACCUUAUAAUUUGAACCGAAUCCCUAGAUUUGAAAUCAUUCCGCCCAAAUUUGCAUCUACAAGUACUAAAGGAUGUAGUGUCACACUUACAUAUCAACUAAAGUUAAAGCAACAAUCAUGUGAAUGUCACGGCUCAACGAUAGGGUUUAAUGGCAUGUGAAUGACAAGGAAACAACAGCUACAACUAUUUCAGUCACAAGGCUCCUGCCAAAGUAGAUGUGAGAAAUGCAGGCGGUGGAUUGUCCUGGUCGUUAGGGCUUCUCAACCAACUGCGUUUUGGGUUCAAAUCAUCCUUCUUCACUUAGUGUAGAUUACUGUAAAAUAUCGCUUGUAACAAAAAAAAAUUAUAGAGAAAAAAAGGAGUAGAAGUGAUAAACAAAGAACCAAUUCUUAUUGCGACAUAGAACUACUUCACAUAAUAACAUUCCCAAAAGCAUUCAUGUCUGUAAUUUAAAGCUAAGCAAAAACCAAAGAAAACAUCACUUAUAAACUCUGAAGGAAAAAGACUCAGCAUCCCAAGGAAAAAAAAUGUCCUAGACAAGAAAACUACCUCAAUAUCGACUGACUAAGAUGAACUCAUCAUCAUCAAGAACUCGGACAUCCUUUUCUCCGACAAAAUUCUCCCGCCCAAUUUGCUUAAUCAAGUUCACAAACUCUACCCUCUUUGCAAGAGGAAGAGGUACAUAUGGCAGCCUGAAGACCGGCCUCACAACACCAAGUUGGGCAAGUGCUGUGUUUAAGCCGAUGGGAUUUGGCUCUUGGAAAAGCCACUUAACCAGAGGCAUAAUUUUUGCAUUCAGAGACGGAUUCUUCCCCCCAAACAUGAGCUGACGCAUUAAACCUGGAACCAAGUUACUAGUAACAGAUAUGACUCCGGUAGCUCCAUGGCUCCACCUAGAAUCAUGGCACUCAUCAUCAUUCCCACUCCAUACCACAAUUUUCUUCCCAGUGUACUCUU
Molecule: long non-coding RNA, 17969 nt
Filed under: Malus domestica (apple)
Lineage: Eukaryota; Viridiplantae; Streptophyta; Magnoliopsida; Rosales; Rosaceae
Description: long non-coding RNA (MDOM_LNC001725)
Source: RNAcentral